UACGGGGGGGGCAAGCGUUGUUCGGAAUUACUGGGCGUAAAGGGCUCGUAGGCGGCCAACUAAGUCGGACGUGAAAUCCCCAGGCUCAACCUGGGAACUGCGUCCGAUACUGGAAGGCUUGAAUCCGGGAGAGGGAUGCGGAAUUCCUGGUGUAGCGGUGGAAUGCGCAGAUAUCAGGAGGAACACCGGUGGCGAAGGCGGGUCUCUGGGCCGGAACUGACGCUGAGGAGCGAAAGCGUGGGGAGCGAACAGG
RNAcentral lists this ribosomal RNA (253 nucleotides) under uncultured bacterium. Its description in RNAcentral is "partial 16S ribosomal RNA". It matches the Rfam family "Bacterial small subunit ribosomal RNA", at positions 524 to 776 of the family's 1533-position model. The record is from RNAcentral.